This is a long non-coding RNA of Armigeres subalbatus, 641 nucleotides long. RefSeq lists it as uncharacterized. Lineage: Eukaryota; Metazoa; Arthropoda; Insecta; Diptera; Culicidae. The transcript has 3 exons. The record is from RefSeq and is a predicted model, not a curated record.
AAAUGUGAUCAAAUUACCAAAGUAAUUUCGACAAUUGGUAAACGCAAUUGAAAAAGUAGGCGAAAAAAACAUUUUUGUGUUUUCAUUCGUAAGACAAUUUUGCUAAAUGUCACCAAGCAGACAGUUGCACAGUAGCGUGAUAAUUGCUGCGUAGACUAUUUUGCCUUUAAAAGCUGCAGCAAACAAGCGGAGAAGGCGGAAUGUGAAAUACCUACCCCACAUAAAAGCUUCUCGAAGACAGAGUUGUUACCGACAGCGUUGGCUUUAACUACAGUUAGUUUGAAAAUUCGUCAGGGGAGAUAAAUUGUUGGUUUUGGUGCUCAUUUGCGUUCAUAUACAAUUUAAACAAGUGAUCAGUAGAACAGUUUUUGUCUAGCUGAAGCCAUUUCUCUGUAGUUCCAUCACUUUCCCAGAUCCACGCGAGAACUUCUUUGAAAUUAGAAGGCCAGUUGGAUGGCUUUCUUCGAGAGAAUGGACAUGACUGACCUCGACAACCAACAAUGAUCCAUCGGCCAAGAAUGCGUACACAGACAGAGAAAAAUUAUUUACAUAUAUGCAACGUCACCUGCCACUUUCUUCAUAUUGCUAGCUGGUUGCUGCAUGCCAUCCUGCUUUGUUGGUAAUGUACAGUAUGUAUGUAA